UACGUAGGGGGCAAGCGUUGUCCGGAAUCAUUGGGCGUAAAGAGCGUGUAGGCGGCCAAACAGGUCAGCUGUGAAAACUCGAGGCUCAACCUCGAGACGUCGGUUGAAACCGUUUGGCUAGAGUCCGGAAGAGGAGAGUGGAAUUCCCGGUGUAGCGGUGAAAUGCGCAGAUAUCGGGAAGAACACCCGUGGCGAAGGCGGCUCUCUGGGACGGUACUGACGCUGAGACGCGAAAGCGUGGGGAGCAAACAGG
This 253-nucleotide ribosomal RNA is filed under the name uncultured bacterium. RNAcentral describes it as "partial 16S ribosomal RNA". It matches the Rfam family "Bacterial small subunit ribosomal RNA", at positions 524 to 776 of the family's 1533-position model. The record is from RNAcentral.